RNAcentral lists this ribosomal RNA (468 nucleotides) under uncultured bacterium. Its description in RNAcentral is "partial 16S ribosomal RNA". It matches the Rfam family "Bacterial small subunit ribosomal RNA", at positions 28 to 507 of the family's 1533-position model. The record is from RNAcentral.
GACGAACGCUGGCGGCGUGCUUAACACAUGCAAGUCGAACGGAAAGGCCCUGCUUUUGUGGGGUGCUCGAGUGGCGAACGGGUGAGUAACACGUGAGUAACCUGCCCUUGACUUUGGGAUAACUUCAGGAAACUGGGGCUAAUACCGGAUAGGAGCUCCUGCUGCAUGGUGGGGGUUGGAAAGUUUCGGCGGUUGGGGAUGGACUCGCGGCUUAUCAGCUGGUUGGUGGGGUAGUGGCUUACCAAGGCUUUGACGGGUAGCCGGCCUGAGAGGGUGACCGGCCACAUUGGGACUGAGAUGCGGCCCAGACUCCUACGGGAGGCAGCAGUGGGGAAUAUUGCACAAUGGGCGGAAGCCUGAUGCAGCAACGCCGCGUGCGGGAUGACGGCCUUCGGGUUGUAAACCGCUUUCGCCUGUGACGAAGCGUGAGUGACGGUAAUGGGUAAAGAAGCACCGGCUAACUACGUG